This is a long non-coding RNA of Diceros bicornis minor, 654 nucleotides long. RefSeq lists it as uncharacterized. The transcript is spliced from 2 exons. Lineage: Eukaryota; Metazoa; Chordata; Mammalia; Perissodactyla; Rhinocerotidae. The record is from RefSeq and is a predicted model, not a curated record.
CAAGAUAAGACCUUCAUCCUCUACUUUUCAAUGCCUAGCUCAAGUAUUCCUGGGAAUUCCUAGAGCAUGGCCUGAGAAGCAGUGCGUCAGUGCGUGCCUGGGAUCUGAACCUGCGAAGCCCGGGCUGCUGAAGCGGAGCGCACGCACUUAACUGCUGCACCACCGGGCCGCCUCCAAGAAGUUGAUCUCUGGACACUCUGGACACCAAGAACAAGUUGAAGGAGGCACGUGCUUUUGUUCUCAGAAAGAUAAACAGGAGACGUGAAGGCCAUGUCAGGGUUUAUGAGUCCUUUCUUCCCAACUGCAUUAUUUGUUCCCUCCUAAUCCUCACAGAACAUUUUUACUUUUCCUAAUCAAUGGAGACAGCCAUGGGCCUCCUCUGUCCUCCUCACUCUUCUCAUAUUCUUCUGAAACUUCUCAUACAAGACCUGUUUCCCUCUUUCCGUGAACUUGCUUCUGGCUUCCUCUUCCCAUCAAAUAUCCAGCUACCCAAUGUUUUUAGGUAUGUUUUUAUAUCCAUCCAUUAUUAUUUACUAACCCUGCAGUAACCACCCACUCUGCAGUUUUAACAGCAUGAUCUAUGGUAUGUAAACCAACUAUCAAAGGAAUUAUACCCUAAAAUCUUUAAUUAAAAAAUUUAAGCAGAAGAUAAAA